This 1077-nucleotide ribosomal RNA is filed under the name Triticum aestivum (bread wheat). Its description in RNAcentral is "partial small subunit ribosomal RNA". Lineage: Eukaryota; Viridiplantae; Streptophyta; Magnoliopsida; Poales; Poaceae. The record is from RNAcentral.
AUGAUGAUGGACUACGAUUUUUUUUUUCAGAAACUCCGUCCAAGAAAAGGAAAAAUCGAAGCCCUAACGUCGCCACCGCCCCCGCCCUUGCCCCUCAUGCCGCCGCGCGUGCCGCCCCGCUUGCCGCCAGGUCGUCGCCGCCGCUACGACCACCACUCGGCUCCCACCACCUACCCGCCGCCUCCGCCGUCUCCCAUACCGCCCGGAUACCGCCGCUCCGAUGGACACGGAUUUGAAGGCGAAGUCGACUCCGACCGCUGGACGAGGCCCCGCGACGGAUUUGAAGGCGGGCAGCCACGAGUCGAGGUCGACUCCAACCUCCGGACGCCCGCACACCGCCGCCACCACCCGGCUCCCUCCGCUCCCUUCGCUCCCGUGCAAAGAAACACCUACCCGCCGCCUGUCAUGCCGACCGGACGCCGCCCUGACGGAUCUGAAGGCGGGUCGCGACAACUCGAAGUCGACCCCGACCCCCGGACGAGGCCCCGUGACGGAUCGGAAGGUGGGCCGCCACGACUCGAAGUCGACUCCGACCUCCGGACGACGAACCGUCAUCUGUCCCGUGCGCAAUACAUUGAAGAAUUACUCGAUAAAGCCGAGCUGCCUCAACGGCGCGAGGUCACGGACCAGACAGUGAGUGGUACCGAUGCAAUAUUCCCACCAUCACGCCCCGUUUUUGCACUCAGCCCUACUCGCCUGACUAUCAAAUAUUAUGUCAGAGUUGAUAUGUGUGGUUUUUUCCACACAUAUCCUACUCUGUCCGGGCCAUUUCAGAGCUUACAGGAGGUCCAAGAUGCUAUCAACUCUGAGCAUGCUAAACAGUGUGAAAUGAUGUGCAUGGAUGGGCUUUCCAUGAUUGAAAGGAAAGUACGCCGUGCCCUUUACUGGCCUGAUGGCAUAAGGAGAAAUACUUUGGAAGCGCAAGCUUUUGAGAAGAGCCGUAGGCCUGAAGUAUGGAUGCUUAAAGCAUUACUGGACAAGUACAAUGAUGAUAACAAUCUGUCAGAGGAUAUUGCAUAUGAACUCGUAGACAUUCUAUGUGCUAAAGCAAUUCGUGAGCCAAAAGGUUCCCUAUAG